This 512-nucleotide long non-coding RNA is filed under the name Ursus thibetanus thibetanus. RNAcentral's name for it is "lncRNA (ENSUTTG00000007972.1)". The record is from RNAcentral. Lineage: Eukaryota; Metazoa; Chordata; Mammalia; Carnivora; Ursidae.
GGGGGGCCUCCCAAAGCUGUGCAUUUUGGGGCUUUUGCUCCUUUCUCCGGGGCACGGGGAAGAGGGGGACAGGUUAGGGGCCCGAGGCCACUCUGUGUGGCUUCAAGCUUCAAAUUUAUUAUUUUACUUUACUUAAUUUAUUUUACUUAUUACGUAGGCACCACGCCCAGCUUGGAGCCCAACGUGAGGCUUGACCUCAGGACCCCGAGAUCAAGACCUGAGCUGAGAUCAAGACCUGGGCGCUUACCCGACUGCCCCCCCCCCCCCCCACCUUCUUGCAUGAACCCCUCAGGAGCUGCCUGCCCUUCCAGAGCUCUGGCUCAGAGCCUGUGUGCGGCUGCAGGGCUGCCCUCACAUUCCACGUCAGGAGAACUUUCGGCCGAGAGCAAGAUGGGCCCCGAAGGCUUUUUUUCCUCUCAGAAGCACAAAGGCACCAGCUGGCCUGGAAGAGCACGCAGCUCAGGAAGCCAGCCAGUCCCACCCCUCCUAGGAGGGCGCCGGGGGCCUGGGGA